UAGGGAAUCUUCCACAAUGGGUGAAAGCCUGAUGGAGCAACGCCGCGUGUGUGAUGAAGGCUUUCGGGUCGUAAAGCACUGUUGUAUGGGAAGAACAGCUAGAAUAGGAAAUGAUUCUAGUUUGACGGUACCAUACCAGAAAGGGACGGCUAAAUACGUACCAG
RNAcentral lists this ribosomal RNA (164 nucleotides) under uncultured bacterium. RNAcentral's name for it is "partial 16S ribosomal RNA". It matches the Rfam family "Bacterial small subunit ribosomal RNA", at positions 355 to 511 of the family's 1533-position model. The record is from RNAcentral.